CUUAGAGGGAGGUGUAUGCAGCUUCAGCUGCAGAUUAAUGAGCUAUUUGACUGGGACAUGACGUUGGUUUAACAGCAUUUUUUCUCAAAUGUGGUGUGAUCAGGAAUUUGCAGAAGUUUAUUCUUAGCUCUUUCUUUUGGCUUCUGCAACAUGUUAACAGCUUGUGCAUUUUGUAAUGCCUUUUUUCAUUACCAUGGUAACCAUUAAAACUUAAGGUAUAUGUGACUGAAGAUCUGGCCAAGCUAUUGGUUAGUGGCAUGCUGGAAGGCAGUGAAAUAAAAACCACAUCUAGUCGGCAGCUUUUUACAGGUACCCCCUUCUAGCACCACUCAUUUUGGAAGACUUUGUUCAUAUAAGCAA
RNAcentral lists this long non-coding RNA (360 nucleotides) under Homo sapiens (human). Its description in RNAcentral is "HSALNT0250362". The record is from RNAcentral. Lineage: Eukaryota; Metazoa; Chordata; Mammalia; Primates; Hominidae.